This 469-nucleotide ribosomal RNA is filed under the name uncultured Cytophagales bacterium. Its description in RNAcentral is "bacterial SSU rRNA". It matches the Rfam family "Bacterial small subunit ribosomal RNA", at positions 28 to 508 of the family's 1533-position model. The record is from RNAcentral. Lineage: Bacteria; Pseudomonadati; Bacteroidota; Sphingobacteriia; Sphingobacteriales.
GAUGAACGCUAGCGGCAGGCCUAAUACAUGCAAGUCGAACGGUGUCUUCGGACAUAGUGCGCACGGGUGCGUAACACGUAUGCAACCUACCUUACAUUGGGGGAUAGCCUUUCGAAAGGGAGAUUAAUACCGCAUAAGACAGUAACUAGGCAUCUAGUAGCUGUUAAAGAUUUAUCGAUGUAAGCUGGGCAUGCGACCAAUUAGCUAGUUGGUGAGGUAAUGGCUCACCAAGGCUAUGAUUGGUAGGGGAACUGAGAGGUCAAUCCCCCACACUGGCACUGAGAUACGGGCCAGACUCCUACGGGAGGCAGCAGUAGGGAAUAUUGGGCAAUGGACGCAAGUCUGACCCAGCCAUGCCGCGUGCAGGAUGAAGGCGUUAUGCGUUGUAAACUGCUUUUAUACAGGAAGAAACGACUCUUGCGAGAGGCAUUGACGGUACUGUAUGAAUAAGCACCGGCUAACUCCGUGC